Molecule: long non-coding RNA, 748 nt
Organism: Rhinolophus ferrumequinum (greater horseshoe bat)
Lineage: Eukaryota; Metazoa; Chordata; Mammalia; Chiroptera; Rhinolophidae
Exons: 3
Source: RefSeq, a predicted model, not a curated record
CCGGGUACAACCUGGGCCGGCCGGGCCACCAGGGUUUGGCCAGGAUCCCGGGCCCGAGACAAAUCAAAACCUUGCCCAGCUGCGCACUAACCUAAGCCUCCCGCCCGACCGCCUCCGCGCUCUUCACCUGCGAGACACCCACUUCGGCCCCCAACCCCUACACCCGUCCCCUGCUUGAGGGUGGGAGGGCGAGGAGAAGGGCUGAGAGAGAGACGUUUACCGGAGCGGCGGGACGAUUGCACCCCACCGCCCAAGUGCAUCCCCGCGCAGGCUCUUUCCCUGGGUCUGCAGCAGGCCCUCCACUCCGGCUGGCGCCCAGGCGACAGGACGCAGCAACUCGCCCCUUUGCCCCAAAGCCGCCCCACACGGAUCCGACCUCAUUCGGGGCCUCCCCCGACCCCAGCAUCUUUCCGAGGCGGCCGGGGCUGGGCGGUUAGUUGACAAGCGCACCCUCUCUCCUCCAACAGGAAAUGCCACCUCGUGGAGCACACAGACAUGCAGGCAAUGACGACACAGCCAGGGAGGUGCUCUAAUAUGACGGAAGCACAAGGGAUUCUGGAAACCCAGCAGAGGGCCCUCAACCAGCCUGGAGGAGCCUCAUACGUCUUCUAGAAGAGACACUCUUCCAAGUGGGCUGGACUCAUGUGGGUUCAAGAAAGAAAAAAAAAAUGAAGGCUGUGGCACAAGUGCUGAAAUCUCAGGGAAUCAGAGGACAGGAAAUGGUGUUGAGCGGGCCUUCUGCAAGCUG